RNAcentral lists this ribosomal RNA (464 nucleotides) under uncultured bacterium. RNAcentral's name for it is "partial 16S ribosomal RNA". It matches the Rfam family "Bacterial small subunit ribosomal RNA", at positions 28 to 506 of the family's 1533-position model. The record is from RNAcentral.
GACGAACGCUGGCGGCGUGCUUAACACAUGCAAGUCGAGCGGAAAGGCCCUGCUUGCAGGGUACUCGAGUGGCGAACGGGUGAGUAACACGUGGGUGAUCUGCUCUGCACUUCGGGAUAAGCCUGGGAAACUGGGUCUAAUACCGGAUAGGAGCCAUUUUUAGUGUGAUGGUUGGAAAGUUUUUUCGGUGUAGGAUGAGCUCUCGGCCUAUCAGCUUGUUGGUGGGGUAAUGGCCUACCAAGGCGGCGACGGGUAGCCGGCCUGAGAGGGUGGACGGCCACAUUGGGACUGAGAUACGGCCCAGACUCCUACGGGAGGCAGCAGUGGGGAAUAUUGCACAAUGGGCGCAAGCCUGAUGCAGCGACGCCGCGUGGGGGAUGACGGCCUUCGGGUUGUAAACUCCUUUCGCUAGGGACGAAGCUGUUUGUGACGGUACCUAGAUAAGAAGCACCGGCUAACUACGU